UACGUAGGUGGCAAGCGUUGUCCGGAUUUAUUGGGCGUAAAGCGCUCGCAGGUGGUUCGUCGCGUCGUGCGUGAAAGACCCCGGCUCAACUGGGGGGUGUCGUGCGAUACGGGCGGACUGGAGGCCAGUAGGGGGAUGCGGAAUUCCGGGUGUAGUGGUGGAAUGCGUAGAGAUCCGGAGGAACACCAGCGGCGAAGGCGGCAUCCUGGACUGGUCCUGACACUCAGGAGCGAAAGCGUGGGGAGCGAUCCGG
Molecule: ribosomal RNA, 253 nt
Filed under: uncultured bacterium
Lineage: Bacteria
Description: partial 16S ribosomal RNA
Rfam family: Bacterial small subunit ribosomal RNA
Source: RNAcentral